RNAcentral lists this ribosomal RNA (543 nucleotides) under Neuronema laminatum. RNAcentral describes it as "partial 16S ribosomal RNA". It matches the Rfam family "Bacterial large subunit ribosomal RNA", at positions 1809 to 2620 of the family's 2925-position model. Lineage: Eukaryota; Metazoa; Arthropoda; Insecta; Neuroptera; Hemerobiidae. The record is from RNAcentral.
AAAAACAUGUCUUUUUGAGAAUAAUUUAAAGUCUAACCUGCCCAUUGAUUUUAUAUUUAAAGGCCGCAGUAUCCUGACUGUGCAAAGGUAGCAUAAUCAUUUGUCUUUUAAUUGAAGGCUGGAAUGAAUGGUUGAUUGAAGUAUAAACUGUCUCAUUUUAAUAAGUUAAUAAUUUAGCUUUUAAAUUAAAAGGUUUAAAUGUAUUUGAAAGACGAGAAGACCCUAUAGAUUUUUAUAAUAUUUUAUUAAAUUAUAAUUAGUUUAUUAUAAUUAAUUUAUUAGAAUUUUAUUUGAUUGGGGUGAUUAAAAAAUUAAAUAAACUUUUUUUUUAAAAAACCAUUAAUUUUUGAAUUAUUGAUCCAAUUUUAUUGAUUAUAAGAUUAAAUUACCUUAGGGAUAACAGCGUAAUUUUUUUAGAGAGUUCUUAUCGAUAAAAAAGAUUGCGACCUCGAUGUUGAAUUAAAGGUUAUUUUUAAAUGUAGAAGUUUAAAGUUUAGGUCUGUUCGACCUUUAAAUCUUUACAUGAUCUGAGUUAAAAACCGG